GCCCAGACUCCUACGGGAGGCAGCAGUGGGGAAUAUUGGACAAUGGGGGCAACCCUGAUCCAGCCAUGCCGCGUGAGUGAUGAAGGCSUUAGGGUUGUAAAGCUCUUUUAUCCGGGGACGAUAAUGACGGUACCGGAGGAAUAAGCCCCGGCUAACUUCG
Molecule: ribosomal RNA, 160 nt
Filed under: uncultured bacterium
Lineage: Bacteria
Description: partial 16S ribosomal RNA
Rfam family: Bacterial small subunit ribosomal RNA
Source: RNAcentral